Molecule: long non-coding RNA, 1402 nt
Organism: Homo sapiens (human)
Lineage: Eukaryota; Metazoa; Chordata; Mammalia; Primates; Hominidae
Gene: MIR663AHG
Product: MIR663A host gene
Source: Ensembl
GGUGACGCGUGCGCCGGCCGGCCGCCGAGGGGCUACCGUUCUGCCUCCGACCGGUCGUGUAAAUACUAGGCUUUAGAAUUUCACCAUAUGAAUUUUGGGAGAGAGGAGCACAGUUCAGCCCAUAACUAACACACGACGGAAUGAAGUUGAUAAUAGUGAGACCUUGUUGGUACAAGACUAUGUAACAUAACCUGCGCUUCUCAACAAAGAAUUGCUUUUCUGACUUCUGCACUCAAUAGCAAGACAAAUCUCUCCUCUGCCUUCUCCUUAUCAGACUACUCAACAUGAAGGCAAUAAGAAUGAAGACCUCUAUGUAUAAUAAUUGACUUCCACUUAAUAAAUAAGCAACACGCUGUCCUGGAUAGCUAACGUGUUUAUGAAUGCAAGGAAAUUUUCAAAAAGGGAGUUUGAAAUUUAACUCCACAAACUACUAUCUGGAUUGGAAUGCUACAUUAAAUGUAUUAUAAUUUUGUAUGGACAUAUAAGGAUGGGGAAUGAAAAGCAUCCAAGGCCAUAUGUUGAUAAUCUUUUGAUAUGUUAAGAAAUAAUCUAGUGUUAUUUUCUAUUUCUUCUCAAAUGUUUUUAGAGGUUACUUGGUACACUGGUCGACAAAACCUUGAAAUGUUGAUGUUUAAGGGCUGUUGAUUGCUGGCAGCAAAGAAGUCCAACUGUGCUGGUACCCGAGAUAGCGUCUCCACAUUUUCUUCCAGGAUCAUCACCUUUGUUCUAAAUAGCUCCCACAUAGUGUGAACAGAAGUCAUAUGUUUUAGAUUUUCUGCCUUGGCACCCAGGAAACCAGUAUGAUUGAGUAAACAUAUUAAACUUCCUCUGCAUUUCCAGCCUGAACAGAUGUUGAGUACAAGCUGAUCCACCUACGUUCAACCUGAGAGAGUCCACAUCCACAGACUGUUUCAUUUCCCUUUUUCAAUUUACAUAGAAGCAUAGAUUCUUGCUGGCAUAUACAAAUGCGCCAUUUAAGGCAAUCAAAAAUGGUUCCACAUCUCAUCUGAUUUCCACAAUUGUUGCUGUAACGAUGGACUACUGAGGAGAGAGACAAUUUCUCUGGCACAUCUUCCCACAUUUUAGCAACAUGUUCAUGGAGAGCCAAUAUUCAGUAAUUACAGCCCAAUUCCUCACAAUUUCACAAUUCGCUAACAAUAUGCAUUUUCACAAUGUAAAGCUGAUUUUCCUUUAACCAAAUCAAACAUGAAAAGAUAGCUGCAUGCAAUGGGCAAUCUAGAUCAUUAGAAGAUUGAUGUAAAAUUAGAGGACACUGAGACUGGAAUAGAUUGCAAACUUCAGGGAGCUCAGAAAACUUGUAAACUCUACAUUUUGAGGAAAUAUGUUGUCGAUGCUUUUGCAACUCUAUGCAGUAACUUAACAAAUAAAGCCUUAAAGUAAC